Macaca mulatta (Rhesus monkey) is the source of this 841-nucleotide non-coding RNA. NCBI's taxonomy places the organism in Eukaryota, Metazoa, Chordata, Mammalia, Primates, Cercopithecidae. The record is from RefSeq and is a predicted model, not a curated record.
AUAAUUAUUUAAGAACAGGUGUCAUUAACAUAAGAUUAAUUGUCAAACUCAUUAGAAAAAGAACAAAAUGGAAUAUUAUUAUCACAUAAAAUCAGGAAAAUAUUAGAAGAAAAAUAGUAUAUGUUCCUGCUGGUAUCUUAAAGAGAAAGAAGAAUACUGGUUAAUUCAAAAAAGCAAAUAGCAAGGAAGCCGUAAGGUUGAAGAUAUAUUUCAAAACAGAAUCCUAGUUAUAACCGGACUUAGCUCUCUAUGAAAUGAUAAGAUGCUCUUAUAAAAAGGCUUGAUGCCACAGCAUUCUUCCUCUCCAAUGGAUGCAGCCCUUACCAGACAACUGAACCUGCUGGCACCUUAAUCUUGGAUUCUCAACCUCCAGAAGUAUGAGAAAAUAAUUUUCUGCUCUUCAUACAUGACCCAGUCUCAGUGGUUACCAGGCUUCAUUUCGGUUGCUGUCGCCUCUGGACCCCAUCGCCCCUGUUGAGAUCAAGAAUCCCAUUUCAAAGGAAACAUGCUUCAUCUUCUUGGCCUACCAAAUCAGAAAAAAAUCUUCAAAUUCAGAUGGAGCCACAAGGAUCCUUGAACAGACAAAACAAUUUUGAGGAAGAAGAACAAAGCUGAAGGCCUCACUUCUCUGUUUUAAAAUGUAUUGCAAAGUAACAAUAAGUAAAACAAUAUGGUACUGGCAUAAAGACAGAAAUAUACACCAAUGGAACAGAAUAAAGAUCCCAGAGAUAAACACACACAGUUAACUGGUUUUCAAUAAGGGUACCAAGAAUAUACAAUGAGGGAAAGAUGGUCUCUUUUACAAAUAGUGUUGGGAAAACUAGAUAUACACAUGCAAAAG